AUACGGAGGGAGCAAGCGUUAUUCGGAAUCACUGGGCGUAAAGGACGCGUAGGCGGGUUUGUAAGUCAGGUGUGAAAUCCUACAGCUCAACUGUAGAACUGCACUUGAAACUACAGACCUAGAGUAUGGAAGGGGCAGAUGGAAUUAGUGGUGUAGGGGUAAAAUCCGUAGAUAUCACUAGGAAUACCGAAAGCGAAGGCGAUCUGCUGGGACGUUACUGACGCUGAGGCGUGAAAGCGUGGGGAGUAAACAGGAUUAGAUACCCUAGUAGUCC
RNAcentral lists this ribosomal RNA (274 nucleotides) under uncultured bacterium. RNAcentral describes it as "partial 16S ribosomal RNA". It matches the Rfam family "Bacterial small subunit ribosomal RNA", at positions 523 to 796 of the family's 1533-position model. The record is from RNAcentral.